Molecule: non-coding RNA, 29 nt
Filed under: Mus musculus (house mouse)
Lineage: Eukaryota; Metazoa; Chordata; Mammalia; Rodentia; Muridae
Source: RNAcentral
GACACAAGAAAUGGAUGGGCUGCGGGCGC